This 395-nucleotide ribosomal RNA is filed under the name uncultured bacterium. RNAcentral describes it as "partial 16S ribosomal RNA". It matches the Rfam family "Bacterial small subunit ribosomal RNA", at positions 523 to 918 of the family's 1533-position model. The record is from RNAcentral.
AUACGUAGGGUGCAAGCGUUAAUCGGAAUUACUGGGCGUAAAGCGUGCGCAGGCGGUUCGGAAAGAAGGAUGUGAAAGCCCAGGGCUCAACCUUGGAACUGCAUUCUUAACUACCGAACUAGAGUAUGUCAGAGGGGGGUAGAAUUCCGCGUGUAGCAGUGAAAUGCGUAGAUAUGCGGAGGAAUACCGAUGGCGAAGGCAGCCCCCUGGGAUAAUACUGACGCUCAUGCACGAAAGCGUGGGUAGCAAACAGGAUUAGAUACCCUGGUAGUCCACGCCCUAAACGAUGUCAACUAGCUGUUGGGCCCUUCGGGGCUUAGUAGCGUAGCUAACGCGUGAAGUUGACCGCCUGGGGAGUACGGUCGCAAGAUUAAAACUCAAAUGAAUUGACGGGG